GCGGCGGACGGGUGAGUAACACGUGGGUAACCUGCCUGUAAGACCGGGAUAACUCCGGGAAACCGGUGCUAAUACCGGAUAGAUUAUCUUUCCGCCUGGAGAGAUAAGGAAAGAUGGCUAUUGCCAUCACUUACAGAUGGGCCCGCGGCGCAUUAGCUAGUUGGUGAGGUAACGGCUCACCAAGGCGACGAUGCGUAGCCGACCUGAGAGGGUGAUCGGCCACACUGGGACUGAGACACGGCCCAGACUCCUACGGGAGGCAGCAGUAGGGAAUCUUCCGCAAUGGACGAAAGUCUGACGGAGCAACGCCGCGUGAGCGAAGAAGGUCUUCGGAUCGUAAAGCUCUGUUGUUAGGGAAGAACAAGUAUCGGAGGAAAUGCCGGUACCUUGACGGUACCUGACGAGAAAGCCACGGCUAACUACGUGCCAGCAGCCGCGGUAAUAC
Molecule: ribosomal RNA, 445 nt
Filed under: Bacillus sp. H20C002X
Lineage: Bacteria; Bacillati; Bacillota; Bacilli; Caryophanales; Bacillaceae
Also listed under: 59 other names
Description: bacterial SSU rRNA
Rfam family: Bacterial small subunit ribosomal RNA
Source: RNAcentral